GACGAACGCUGGCGGCGUGCCUAAUACAUGCAAGUAGAACGCUGAAGGAGGAGCUUGCUUCUCCGGAUGAGUUGCGAACGGGUGAGUAACGCGUAGGUAACCUGCCUGGUAGCGGGGGAUAACUAUUGGAAACGAUAGCUAAUACCGCAUAACAGUAGAUAUUGCAUGAUAUCUGCUUGAAAGGUGCAAUUGCAUCACUACCAGAUGGACCUGCGUUGUAUUAGCUAGUUGGUGGGGUAACGGCUCACCAAGGCGACGAUACAUAGCCGACCUGAGAGGGUGAUCGGCCACACUGGGACUGAGACACGGCCCAGACUCCUACGGGAGGCAGCAGUAGGGAAUCUUCGGCAAUGGACGGAAGUCUGACCGAGCAACGCCGCGUGAGUGAAGAAGGUUUUCGGAUCGUAAAGCUCUGUUGUAAGAGAAGAACGAGUGUGAGAGUGGAAAGUUCACACUGUGACGGUAUCUUACCAGAAAGGGACGGCUAACUACGUGCCAGCAGCCGCGGUAAUACGUAGGUCCCGAGCGUUGUCCGGAUUUACUGGGCGUAAAGCGAGCGCAGGCGGUUAGAUAAGUCUGAAGUUAAAGGCUGUGGCUUAACCAUAGUACGCUUUGGAAACUGUUUAACUUGAGUGCAAGAGGGGAGAGUGGAAUUCCAUGUGUAGCGGUGAAAUGCGUAGAUAUAUGGAGGAACACCGGUGGCGAAAGCGGCUCUCUGGCUUGUAACUGGCGCUGAGGCUCGAAAGCGUGGGGAGCAAACAGG
Molecule: ribosomal RNA, 763 nt
Filed under: uncultured Streptococcus sp.
Lineage: Bacteria; Bacillati; Bacillota; Bacilli; Lactobacillales; Streptococcaceae
Description: bacterial SSU rRNA
Rfam family: Bacterial small subunit ribosomal RNA
Source: RNAcentral